AGCAGCCGCGGUAAUUCCAGCUCCAAUAGCGUAUAUUAAAGUUGUUGCAGUUAAAAAGCUCGUAGUUGAAUUUCGGGAUCAAUAUGUUGGUCGUGCCUUGGUACGUACUGGCGUCAUUGAUUUCUACCUUCUGAAGAACCUCGAUGUCAUUAAUUUGGUGUCUUGGGGAAUCAGGACUGUUACUUUGAAAAAAUUAGAGUGUUUAAAGCAAGCUAACGCUUGAAUACAUUAGCAUGGAAUAAUGAAAUAGGACGUUCGAUCCUAUUUUGUUGGUUUCUAGGAUUGACGUAAUGAUUAAUAGGGAUAGUUGGGGGCAUUAGUAUUCAAUUGUCAGAGGUGAAAUUCUUGGAUUUAUUGAAGACUAACUACUGCGAAAGCAUUUGCCAAGGAUGUUUUCAUUAAUCAAGAACGAAAGUUAGGGGAUCGAAGACGAUCAGAUACCGUCGUAGUCUUAACCAUAAACUAUGCCGACUAGGGAUCGGAUGAUGUUAAUUUUUUAAUGACUCAUUCGGCGCCUUACG
Molecule: ribosomal RNA, 521 nt
Filed under: uncultured Glomeromycotina
Lineage: Eukaryota; Fungi; Glomeromycota
Description: SSU rRNA
Rfam family: Eukaryotic small subunit ribosomal RNA
Source: RNAcentral